Molecule: ribosomal RNA, 440 nt
Filed under: uncultured bacterium
Lineage: Bacteria
Description: partial 16S ribosomal RNA
Rfam family: Bacterial small subunit ribosomal RNA
Source: RNAcentral
CCUACGGGAGUCAGCAGUGGGGAAUAUUGCACAAUGGGGGAAACCCGGAUGCAGCGACGCCGCGGGAGUGAAGAAGUAAUUCGUUAUGUAAAGCUCUAUCAGCAGGGAAGAAAAUGACGGUACCUGAGUAAGAAGCCCCGGCUAACUACGUGCCAGCAGCCGCGGGAAUACGUAGGGGGCAAGCGUUAUCCGGAUUUACUGGGUGUAAAGGGAGCGUAGACGGCAGUGCAAGUAUGGAGUGAAAGGCGGGGGCUCAACCCCCGGACUGCUCUGGAAACUGUACGGCUGGAGUGCAGGAGAGGUGAGUGGAAUUCCUGGUGUAGCGGUGAAAUGCGUAGAUAUUAGGAGGAACACCAGUGGCGAAGGCGGCUUACUGGACUGUAACUGACGUUGAGGCUCGAAAGCGUGGGGAGCAAACAGGAUUAGAUACCCUAGUAGUC